This 794-nucleotide ribosomal RNA is filed under the name Salmonella enterica subsp. enterica serovar Newport. RNAcentral describes it as "partial 23S ribosomal RNA". It matches the Rfam family "Bacterial large subunit ribosomal RNA", at positions 711 to 1506 of the family's 2925-position model. Lineage: Bacteria; Pseudomonadati; Pseudomonadota; Gammaproteobacteria; Enterobacterales; Enterobacteriaceae. The record is from RNAcentral.
AGACCCGAAACCCGGUGAUCUAGCCAUGGGCAGGUUGAAGGUUGGGUAACACUAACUGGAGGACCGAACCGACUAAUGUUGAAAAAUUAGCGGAUGACCUGUGGCUGGGGGUGAAAGGCCAAUCAAACCGGGAGAUAGCUGGUUCUCCCCGAAAGCUAUUUAGGUAGCGCCUCGUGAAUUCAUCUCCGGGGGUAGAGCACUGUUUCGGCUAGGGGGCCAUCCCGGCUUACCAACCCGAUGCAAACUGCGAAUACCGGAGAAUGUUAUCACGGGAGACACACGGCGGGUGCUAACGUCCGUCGUGAAGAGGGAAACAACCCAGACCGCCAGCUAAGGUCCCAAAGUCAUGGUUAAGUGGGAAACGAUGUGGGAAGGCCCAGACAGCCAGGAUGUUGGCUUAGAAGCAGCCAUCAUUUAAAGAAAGCGUAAUAGCUCACUGGUCGAGUCGGCCUGCGCGGAAGAUGUAACGGGGCUAAACCAUGCACCGAAGCUGCGGCAGCGACACUCAGGUGUUGUUGGGUAGGGGAGCGUUCUGUAAGCCUGCGAAGGUGGCCUGUGAGGGUUGCUGGAGGUAUCAGAAGUGCGAAUGCUGACAUAAGUAACGAUAAAGCGGGUGAAAAGCCCGCUCGCCGGAAGACCAAGGGUUCCUGUCCAACGUUAAUCGGGGCAGGGUGAGUCGACCCCUAAGGCGAGGCCGAAAGGCGUAGUCGAUGGGAAACGGGUUAAUAUUCCCGUACUUGGUGUUACUGCGAAGGGGGGACGGAGAAGGCUAUGUUGGCCGGGCGACGGUUGUC